Molecule: non-coding RNA, 73 nt
Organism: Myotis lucifugus (little brown bat)
Lineage: Eukaryota; Metazoa; Chordata; Mammalia; Chiroptera; Vespertilionidae
Source: Rfam
GCCGGUUUGGCUCAGUGGAUAGAGCGUCAGCCUGUGGACUAAAGGGUCCCGGGUUCGAUUCCCGGUCUAGGCA